GCCAGGAUGGUAGAGGUUUGAGUGUUGGACUAUGACUCUGGAGACCAGGGUUCAAAUCCCCGCUCAGCCA
RNAcentral lists this transfer RNA (70 nucleotides) under Phrynosoma platyrhinos (Desert horned lizard). RNAcentral's name for it is "tRNA-OTHER". The record is from RNAcentral. Lineage: Eukaryota; Metazoa; Chordata; Lepidosauria; Squamata; Phrynosomatidae.